Molecule: long non-coding RNA, 609 nt
Filed under: Sus scrofa (pig)
Lineage: Eukaryota; Metazoa; Chordata; Mammalia; Artiodactyla; Suidae
Description: lncRNA (ENSSSCG00070008552.1)
Source: RNAcentral
GAAUGCACAUACUAGCUCUCCAGGAAGAUACGUCCCUCGAGGGCUUACCUCCACCCCUCGGCACUAGGAGAUGGGCCUCCCCAUUCUGUGGAUAAGGAAACCACGGCUCAGGUGAAGCUGUAAAAAGCAAAAAAAGGAGAAGAAGGAAAAGAAAAAAUGGCAUCUCAGAUGGGCCACUGGAACAUUUGGAGACGUGCAGACGGGCACUGGUGAAAUGAGCAGCACGAGAAAAGGAGUAAAGCAAAUGCUGGUGGGAGCCCAUGAGAAACAGGCUGGUCGUGAGCCCCAGAACCCCCAUGAGGAGUUAAACCAGGCCUGGCUCUGCAGCGCACAUGGGAGGAGAAGAGAAAAGGAAGUGGAAGAAAACAAAGACAUCUCACCCACUCAGUGCUGUCUCUGUAACCAGGGUGUGUAUUUAACAAAGCUCAGAGAGUUCCCAAGUGGCAGAGGGGUUAAGGAUCUGGCAUUGUCACUGCUGUGGCUCGGGUCACCGCUGUGGCUCAGGUUAGAUCCCUGGCCCGGGAACUUCCCCCUGAGUGGCCAAGAAAACAAACCAAAAACUAAGCUCAUUCCAUCCCAGAUCCUUUCUGCUUAAAGUGCUCUCAUGUG